Molecule: small nucleolar RNA, 88 nt
Organism: Cucurbita pepo subsp. pepo (vegetable marrow)
Lineage: Eukaryota; Viridiplantae; Streptophyta; Magnoliopsida; Cucurbitales; Cucurbitaceae
Product: small nucleolar RNA U54
Source: RefSeq, a predicted model, not a curated record
UGCUCUGUGAUUACAUGCCUUCUCAGGCAAUAUACGCUAUUCUGAAACUCAAUAAUGUGGAUAGAUCUAUUGAAUGAGAAUGAGAGCU